CCCUUAGAUGUUCUGGGCCGCACGCGCGCUACACUGACUACUUCAACGAGUUGUUUCCUUGAUCGAAAGGUCUGGGUAAUCUUUGAAAGGUAGUCGUGAUGGGGAUAGAUCCUUGCAAUUUUUGAUCUUCAACGAGGAAUUCCUAGUAAACGCAAGUCAUCAGCUUGCAUUGAUUACGUCCCUGCCCUUUGUACACACCGCCCGUCGCACCUACCGAUUGAAUGGUCCGGUGAAUCUUUAGGACUGUGGCUGAGGCCUUGCCUUGUGCGGGUCUGGCCGUGGGAAUUUAGUUAAACCUUACCAUUUAGAAGAAGGUGAAGUCGUAACA
Molecule: ribosomal RNA, 328 nt
Filed under: uncultured eukaryote
Lineage: Eukaryota
Description: partial 18S ribosomal RNA
Rfam family: Eukaryotic small subunit ribosomal RNA
Source: RNAcentral